This 31-nucleotide non-coding RNA is filed under the name Homo sapiens (human). Lineage: Eukaryota; Metazoa; Chordata; Mammalia; Primates; Hominidae. The record is from RNAcentral.
UUCAGCAGCGCUGUGAUGGAAUCUGAGGAGC